CUCACGAAGUCACAUACACGCGACAAACAAACAUACAAAUGCUUGAGCCCUUCGUGAUCAUCCACGCAACCUACACCCGCGCUCUCGCAGACAUGAUAACAUCCCCGUGAUAAUAUGAACGUCUCAGCACUUAUAAACAUUCAAACGCGAUCUCAAGCGUGAACCUACAGUCCCCCGCACUCGCGCGAUAAUGUAUCGGUCACGUCAGGAAGUCUCUAUCCUCGAUUCCAGAAGUCUAGGUCCAUGCCUUCAAUUGAAUCAUCUGAACAGAAAGCUCUCAUAUCCACUGGUCAACACGUUCCAUGACCAGGAACAAUAGUGAUAUGGAGUAACUUACUCCCUGUCAGAAUGUGAUCCGUACACCGAAAACUAAAUAUCAGAAUGGCGGUCCGCGUGGCCAUCCAAGAGCACACGCAAUUAUGUGAAUGGUCACAGAGUUAGAAAAGCGAAUUUAUUCACGCGUAUUUUUUUGCUAAAAAUGCUCAUAACUUUUGAACUAAAUGAGCUAUCUCAAAUCUGUCUAUAUAAACAAUAUUCGUCUCUUUAAGCUCUAAAAGUUUUGUGAAGACACUAUUGAAGGAAAAAAAUAUUUAAGAAGUUAUAAUGAAAAAAACAAUGGUUUAGGGUUACCCUAUCACACAUUAUAAUGGCUGUAAAAUUAAAACCAUUAAAGUUAGAAAUAUGACGUCAUCCGCAAAGUUGCUUGAAAAAGGUUGUACUACAAUUUUGCGGAACACUCGAUUGUUUUAUCUCUUCUUGUUUCAAAAAUAAUUUCUGAACCACCCUAAUGUCACCCAUCUCAAAAGAUGCCUGAAUUGACACAGAUUGUUUGUUACGAAGACAUGAAAUUUCUAGAACCAGUAGUUUAGUCACACAUGUUUUUGUCAUCCUGAAUUCUGGAUUCGGACCACUGUACAUUGGAAAAAUCUUCAUGAAAAUCAAUCAGCAAUACUACCAAUGCCCCCAAAUACAUUGAUUACUUUUCAUGAAGAUUUUUCCAUAUUUGGAUAUUUGGAAAGUAUCAACCGCAGCAACUGAAAAACUCAGACAUUGAAAUGCACUUUUUUACAAAGAAGAAGCUCAAAGCUUGCUCUGCCUGCAGACAAUCAAAGACGCAAACAUAGCUCAUCGCCGCUGAAGUUUAUUGUACCCCUUCUACGAACCGGUCAUAAUAUUGGACCUAAACAUAACACAUCGAUUGGGUGACGAAUUGAUGGAUAUCUCCGCCAUGCGACGUUUCUAAGGAAAAUCAUUCAAACGCUCAGCAUUACGAAGCUGCUGAUCAUGUUCCACAUAAAUCCGCUAGAUUUCAAAACACCGAAUCUUUCGAUACCUUGAUGGCGUUUCCGAGGUGCGUUUCAGCAUAUGUUGAACAUGAGCUGGAGCCGAUUUGUCACGACCACGCAGGACCCGAAUAACAAAAAGCAAUGCGGAAAUCGACAUUACUCUCCUGACCGACUUGGCUUGCUAAAUUUGCUUUCGACUGGAUAUUCCACGUGCCAUCCUACUAUCGUUGUACUUCAUUCUACGACAACCAGGCGAGAAAAAUCUAGGCCAAUACAACUUGAUGCUAUAGGUGUUGAGCGGGGUCAUCACAUUUGGUAGUUUAUUCGUUUUCUUGGCACUUGUGAAGGACUUUCUUGGGAAAAAAUGCUUAAACCUGAUCUACAUGGUAGUCCACGCUGGAUAUUAAUCAAGACACAUUAACCUGCCCAGAAGUUGCUCUCAUCCGGUCAUCGUGCUACUGUAAAAUUACAGUUGCAAACUCGUCCGAGUUGGAUGAGUCCGAUUGCUUCACGUAUGGCUUUCCUGUGUACUAGUUUAGAUUUCGAGAAGUACCUUAUGUUUAUGUCACUAGAGCUGGCUGCUGCUGUAGUAGAGCACGAGUGCGAUGAAGAAAACUAAGCCGAUUGCGAGGAAGGAUAGGAUGAGGAAACUUGCACAUGCCGAGAUUACACUGAUGAUGAAGGACAUGGUGGCACCGGUCUCGGCGGUUUUGGAAGCAUCGAGGACGAACUGCCUUCACGAGACGUUGAUUUGUCCAGCUAUAUUCACAUGGAUGCUGCGGAAAAUAUUCUCGCUCAUGAUUCCGGCUCCGGAAGUACGCAUCGGAAGCGCAAGUUGACUGAGAAUCGGAUGUUGUUCAGAAGCGGCACCGCUCGUACUAUGGGAUCCGAAACCGUAGGGAAUAACUGUGACAACGCAAGCUCAAAGUCCCUCAACUUUAGUAGUAUGAAACGGUUAGCUUUAGAUUCGCCGAGAACUUUACUCAGUCCGUCUAAUCUUACUUCAACGCCAACAUCCUCAACGAUGAGAGAGCGAAAGACUUCCCGAAGUAUAAUCCUCCUCCCGAGGUAAACGAUUGGUUGCAACACUUCCAGCGAUGGACUCCCGUCAAACGUCUGGUGGCAGUAGAUCUGCGGCCCGACCCAGGUGCGGCACAUUAUGACGGUUAUCGAACCCCAAUUCCCACGAGAUUUUAUUUUACUUCCUCUGAAAGAGCUCGCACUUCAAGUGCUGUCCUACCUGGAACCAAGAGAAGGAAAAUAGCAAGGAAGCUGCUGUCGUGAUGGAAGCGAUGGGAGGUGAACGUCGUGCAUUUACACGGAAAUAAAGUCAUCAGUGGCUCUUGCGAUGCGACUCUACGAGUCUGGGACGUUACCGAGGGCACUUGCCCACAUGUGCUGGUUAGUCAUUUGGCUGCUGUUCAGUAUGAUGGUAGGCUAGUAGUUGCGGGACUGCAUGGUUAAGGUGUGGAAUCUUGAACGACACGAGUAUCUCCAUACGCUCCAGGGCCACACUAAUCGGGUGUACUCGCUAGUUUGAUGGUAUUCACGUCAUAUUUAGCUCGCUUUACACGUCGGUUCGCGUGUGGAACGCGGAAACGAAGAGUUGCAAUCAUGAUCUGAUGGGUCACCAGAGUUUAACAUCCGGAAUGGAGCUCCGGUAAAAUAUUCUGGAAUAAGGGAAUGCUGACUCGACCGUCAAGGUUUUGGACAUCAUCACUGGUUAGUGCUUGCAAAUGCUAUCUGGCCCCAACAAGCAUCAAUCAGCUGUCCCCUUGUUUACAGUUCAAUUCCCGCUUCGGAAUCACCAGCUCCGACGACGGUACCGUCAAGUUGUGGGACGUUAAAACUGGAGAGUCCAAUCUUAACCUGGUUGCACUAGAAUCCGGCGGUGUGUGACGAAUCAGAGCCAAUGACACGAAACAAAUUUGUGCCGUAGAGUCACGCAAC
This is a long non-coding RNA of Topomyia yanbarensis, 3236 nucleotides long. RefSeq lists it as uncharacterized. The record is from RefSeq and is a predicted model, not a curated record. The transcript is spliced from 4 exons. NCBI's taxonomy places the organism in Eukaryota, Metazoa, Arthropoda, Insecta, Diptera, Culicidae.